AGAGUUGAGGGAAGGAUUGGGGCUCCCAGAGUGGUUAGCAAUACUACCAGGAGGACCAAUAGAGUCAACUAACCUAGAACUUUGGUGACUUUCAGAGACUGAACCACCAACUAAAGAGCAUGCAGGGGCUGGAACGAGGCCCCUUGCACAUACGUAGCAGUUGUGGAGCUUGGUCUUCAGGAAGAAACCACUGCCUGGGCUCAUAUUGGUGUGCAGUGAUAAUCUUUCUAGAAAGUUCGGGCUUCCUGCAGCUGUCGCCUUACUCCAGGAAGCUGUGAUGCUCCGGUUAUUCCCACAAAGCUCUGAGAACAGUCUGGUGACUGCCUUGCCUCUUGUUGCCUGCAAACCUCUAGCAGAGCAUUGCAUCUGUAGCGAGGAUAAAUUCCUCCUCCUUCCUGGGUUUGGUCUUUGAGCCGCUGCUAGCCCAACUUUUAGCUGGUUUCAGCCCCUUUUCUCGAACAAAAUAAAGUUCUAAACUCC
RNAcentral lists this long non-coding RNA (480 nucleotides) under Rattus norvegicus (Norway rat). RNAcentral describes it as "long non-coding RNA NONRATT029840". Lineage: Eukaryota; Metazoa; Chordata; Mammalia; Rodentia; Muridae. The record is from RNAcentral.